AAUUACAGUCAUUCUCUUUUCGGCGCACUGCCUCUUUCUUGCUAAGGAGCCGUUACCAUGGCAGAUGAACAUUGUCUU
This 78-nucleotide non-coding RNA is filed under the name Pseudescherichia vulneris NBRC 102420. Lineage: Bacteria; Pseudomonadati; Pseudomonadota; Gammaproteobacteria; Enterobacterales; Enterobacteriaceae. The record is from RNAcentral.